Non-coding RNA from Macaca mulatta (Rhesus monkey), 502 nucleotides. The record is from RefSeq and is a predicted model, not a curated record. NCBI's taxonomy places the organism in Eukaryota, Metazoa, Chordata, Mammalia, Primates, Cercopithecidae.
AGAAUGUAACAUCACCUAGGUGCUGGAUCCAGUGAUGUCACAAUUCUUACUGAGAGCAGGGUCCAGGGAGAAGAGUCACAUCACUUCAAGGUUGGCACAGGUCUUCACAAUAGAAGCAUUUUGGCACAUUGCAGAGUCCAGCACUCAGGAUAUGCGACAUUCCUCUCUUUCCUGUACCCACAAAUGAGGAAUUUUGACUUAUUUCUUGGCUUAGCAACCUGAUUAUGUUACUCUUCUGCCUGAGUUUAGCCUGAAGAGGAAAUUAUGGCAUAUUGCAUAUUGCUGUGCACAGGACCCUUAUGAUGUGACUCUCUUGUCAUUACUGAAGCUACUGAAGGUAACAGAUGGUAACAGUAGGUGAUUACAAUGGUUCUAAUAAAGACUACACUGCUUCCAGCCUACAUGUGGAAUUUUGAUAUCUACCUGGUCCACCUUGAAGUGAUAAGAUUAUUCUGCCUGGACUCUGUUCUCGAUAAGAAUUGUGACAUCAGUGGAUCAACUA